Molecule: RNA transcript, 4919 nt
Organism: Zea mays
Lineage: Eukaryota; Viridiplantae; Streptophyta; Magnoliopsida; Poales; Poaceae
Exons: 11
Source: RefSeq, a predicted model, not a curated record
CCCGUUCAUUUGGGCCGAGGGCCGAACCGGACUCGCUCCGUCUUCCCUCCUCCUGUCCAGUGUCCAGGUCUCAUUUGGGCCCAAAGGCAGAACCGGACUCGCCACCUCCUGCGCCUCCCCUCUUCCUGUCCAGGCCUCCAGGGUUUAGGCUCGCCGCCGUCCCGUCCCGUCCCGUCCCGCCUCGCCCACCGCGCGCCGCGAUGCCUCCUUCCAAGGGCAAGAAGAAGAACCCAUCGACGUCGCCGCGGCCGUCCCCACGCACGCCUUCAUCUUGUCCCUCCGCUGGCUCCGGAACUGGCGAUGGCGAGAGAAGCGUCGACCUCCCAUCCAUCGCCGCCGCCGCCGCGGAGCAGUUCCCGGCGCUCGUGCCACGCGGCGGUAGUGGCUACUUUGCUGGCAUCGUUGCCGAAGUGGCCCCUAGGGAUGGGAGCCGCGGCGGCCGCUUGGGGAGGCUCUGGCUCUCCGAGGCCGCUAUGGUCGGCGCCGGGAUGCGGCCUGGGUGCUUUGUCUCCGUCUCACUAAUUUCGUCAAGCAGUGAUCAGUUAGAUGGUUUUCCAUUAAUUAAUUUAUUUGAGGAGUGCAACAGAUUCUUUGAUCUUGAUCUGGACAAUGAUCUCCUUUAUGGUGAAGCUGGGAAAAACUUUGUGGUUGCUACAGUUCUCCCCUCGCGUGAGGUUCCAAAGAAUGGUAUCAAGCUCUCUUGGGAUCUUGCUUGUGUUUUGGGACACCCUUUUGUAGGUCGAUCAUUGUUUAUUUGCCCCUUAUGUACACUUCAGGCCCCAAAGCGUAGUGAUGAUGUUCAUAUUUUACGGGUAAUGAAAUGCAAGAAUCUUUAUCUUAGCCUAGUUCCACCUAAUGUUGGAUCUUCCAAAGGCAUUGAAUCAGAGUCUGACUACCAUCCUGAAAGAAGCGCAAUGGUUAUGGAGACACCUAAGAGGGGUCCUUCAACUCCACUGCGUAAGAAGGAAUCGCAUCACUUUGCUUCCAACAAUGGCUCUUCAAUGUGCUUGGAUCCAACCACUGCAAGAUCAGCACUAGCAGAUGAGAAAAUCAAUGAGUUGUUGCAUACUUCAGCAUUGUGGUGGCUCAAUGGUAGACACUUGCUUAAAGGAAACUUUGUUCCUCUCUCAAUAUGCGGAAAACUGUCUCUAUUUGUGGUCAUGGGAGCAGAACCAGAUAGUUCUUCUCAAGAUGUUUUGUAUGAGAAUGGGAAUACACUGUCUAAUGCAGAGGAUUCAACUAAAUCCCAGGAAAACCCAGUUUUAUUCCUUGUUGACAGAACCACAAAAGUUCAUUUAUCUGAUUCUGUCUGCACAAAGCAGCUUGACUCAGAUAAACCGGGUUUACCAUCAGAACCUCACGAGUAUGAUGAUAAAAGAAAUGCAGAUUUCAAUCAUUCUCCAACACUUGGUGGGUUAUCUAAAGAGUCAGCAACCAUAAAAGGAAUAAUUUCAUUUUCACUAGCUGAUCAAAUUGGUCUGCCAAGAUACAAAGGUAUUCUUCUUUAUGGUCCACCUGGAACAGGGAAGACCUCUCUUGCUUCUUCCUGUGCCUAUGAUGCAGGGGUCAACCUUUUUACAAUCAAUGGACCAGAGAUCAUUAGUCAUUAUUACGGAGAAAGCGAGCAAUCUUUGUACGAUGUUUUCACUUCAGCCAAGCAAGCAGCACCUGCUGUGAUAUUUAUCGAUGAAUUGGAUGCGAUUGCUCCAUCAAGGAAGGAUGGGAGUGAGGCGUUAUCUAUUAGAAUGGUAGCCACUCUGUUAAAACUGAUGGAUGAGAUUGGCCCUAGUGACCGUGUUCUCUUGAUUGCUGCUACGAAUCGACCUGAUAGCAUUGAUCCUGCAUUGCGACGUCCUGGAAGAUUGGAUAAAGAAAUUGAAAUAGGAGUGCCAUCCCCAGGACAGAGGAUGGACAUACUUCGCCACCUUCUAAUUGGAGUUCAUCACUCUCUGACCAAUGAAGAAGUUGAGUCUGUUGCUCUAGCAACCCAUGGAUUUGUGGGUGCUGAUCUAGCAGCAGUGUGCAAUGAGGCUGCAUUGAGUGCUCUCCGGCGUUACAUCAGCCUAAAAGAAAAUUCAAUUCAACAACUUGGUCAUCCUGGCUGUAGUUUUUAUAAGUGUAAUAGUCAAGAUACUGAAGAUUCAAGCUCAUUAUCGUCAUCUUUCUCAAAGUUGACCAUGUCAUCAUAUGUUGCUUGCAUGAACGGUGGUAACAUAAAAAGUAGCGAGUCUUAUGAUGAUACAGAUGAAAUACCACUAUAUGUAACCAAUAAGGAUUUUGACAAGGCUAAAACAAAAGUUAGACCGAGUGCGAUGCGCGAGGUUAUUCUUGAGCUUCCGAAGGUACGUUGGGAAGAUGUUGGUGGUCAGUGCAGUGUCAAGGAGCAACUGAUUGAAGCUAUCCAAUUACCACAAAAAUGCCCAGAAGCAUUUGAACGUUUAGGGAUCCGACCCCCUAGAGGAUUGCUAAUGAUAGGACCACCAGGUUGCAGCAAGACUUUGAUGGCUCGUGCUGCAGCUUCUGAAGCAAAAUUGAAUUUCCUGGCUGUUAAGGGUCCUGAACUUUUCAGCAAGUGGGUCGGUGACUCAGAAAAGGCAGUGAGAUCGCUAUUUGCAAAGGCGCGGGCUAAUGCACCAGCAAUAUUAUUUUUUGAUGAAAUAGAUGGGCUUGCAGUAACUCGUGGGCAAGAAAAUGAUGGCACGUCUGUUGCUGAUAGGGUCCUCAGUCAGUUGCUUGUGGAAAUGGAUGGUUUGGACCAGAGAGUUGGUGUUACUGUUAUUGCAGCUACAAAUCGCCCUGACAAAAUUGAUCCCGCACUUCUGAGGCCAGGUCGUUUCGAUAGGGUGCUGGAUGUGCAACCACCUGAUGAAGCUGACCGUGCAGAUAUUUUCCGGAUCCAUACACGCAGCAUGCCAUGCAGUGCCGACAUGAAUCUAAAUGAACUCGCUAGACUCACAGAAGGCUACACUGGCGCCGACAUAAAGCUCAUCUGCAGGGAAGCUGCUGUUGCCGCACUUGAUGAGAGGUUUGACAUUCAAGAAGUAGCAAUGAGACAUUUCAAUUCUGCGAUCGACAGAACAAAACCUUCAGAUGUCAAGUUCUUCCAAGAACUUGCAAAGCAAUUCCGCAGAUCGUUGACUUCACUGAGGAAGCAAUAAUUCUGAGAAAGCGUUGAGGAAUGGGUCAAGCAUCACCCUCUCACUCCCUACAUUUUUGCUUGGUCCAGAGAAUGGAGUUGGUUAAUCCAUACAAGUACACGGCUAGCUUAGCCAUCUGGAAUCAGUUCAUCCAAAGAAAUAAAACAUGGGGUGACCUCAUUCUGGAUAUUCAUGUGAUUUCUCAAAGCAGGCGCCACAUCAGUGAACCUGGCGUGACUGAAUCUGGGCUGGUAUCUAAGAAGCCUUGUCCUCGUUGCUCUGCAUCUUCGAAAUUUCUGCGUUGUUCCUCUGACUUCAAUUACUAUGCCACUGUAGAUAGUAUUGCUUUAAAAGUUGACUAGAAUUUUCUGUUCCAGAAACCUUUUUGCUGCUAUUUAUUGGGGGAGCAAUUUUCUCUUUUCUGACUCUUCUCAACAUUACACUCGAGAGAAACUUGCUAGACAUGUUUAUAGAUCGAGACAGUUUCAGUGGGCCUGUUUUAACCUUGUCUUAUCUCUUCUUUGGAAGGAUUUGAGCAUUGUUGCCAACAUUGUUCCCUGUCAUCUUGCUGUCGGUAUGUUUCCCUGAAGGAAGUGAUGGAGAUGGCACAGUUUAUGCUGAGGGCGAUCUGAUCUCCUUAACAUUUUGCACAACUGAUGUAACUGUAGGCCUGAUUUUUGUCUCUGGGUUACUGAACUUGGUGGUAGCAGUAACAUCUGCAUGUUUUCUUGGUGUCUUUGGUCCACUGGAGCUGUCAACUGCUGUAUGAGUAGAUGUCAGAUGCGAUGUUCUUCCAGUUUUCUGACUUGAGCCUGUCUCUCGUCAUACUCAAUGUGGCCCUCUGAUUUAGUCCCAAGCAAGGGUUGCUCGUGCUUCUUAGAGGCUUUUACAGUCAGAGUCCUGAUAUCUGAACUUGCACACUCAUUUUCUGGUCGAUCAGGCACAGGAUCCACAGGUGACCGUUCCUCAACUUCGCAUGGACUGUCAGCAGGCGCAGUGGUAUCCUCUUCAAUGUGUUCGUCAGAUUCAUCAAUGUCCUGGAUAGCUAAUGGCAGCAUUCUGCAUCAAUUGGCGGAGUUCCAGCCACAAGUUCAGAUGCUUCAGCUGACGAAUCUUGCACGUGGGGAUUGCUUUCAGAAUGAUCAGGUGCUUUUUUCAAGUGAUGCUUUCAGUGAUGAAUUCAGGCUUAGAGCAGUACUGCUACCACUUUUUACACUGUACUAUUUACAGAGUGAAGUUUGAAUAUGAAGAUAAUUAGAUAAAGAUAGAUAAGCUGCUGGAGAUAGUUUUAUUAUUGUUUUGAAUCUGGUCGAGUUCCUGGUUCCUAGUGCUUGCACGGCGCAAUUGCUUGCUACUAACAGGCCAAUAUUUCUUGGGUUCAGAGGAAUGCUUGAUCCCAAACUUGCAGCUGUCAUGGCAAGAGCUGGUGGAUGCUCGUAGGAAAUGCGGGACCGGCUUCUACUUCCUCUUUAACAUCAGGUGUCAUGCUGCUGCCAUCCAUAACUACUAGAGCAGCAUUUAUCAGGUCUUCACAUUUGUUAUGUGAGGGACUAAAAUUUAGUUAGAGGAACCAAACAUGGUCUUAGUCUUCAACUCUUCAUGGUUUGAGCAUGGGAGAAGGGGGGAGUGGACUAUAAAUUGGGCGUAGAGGUUGUGGAUUUGUGAACCUAGAAUGAAAUAGAUUCUGCUGUUAUUCUCAAGAAAUUGAGGCAUGAAGUCUAAAAAGACGAAUUUAAAGGAAAAAUAAAUAAAUGUUGCAGCAGUUUAAACAGCCAACUUUAA